GGAUUGCCCUAGUAACGGCGAGUGAAGCGGCAACAGCUCAAAUUUGAAAUCUGGCUCUUUUAGAGUCCGAGUUGUAAUUUGCAGAGGGCGCUUUGGCUUUGGCAGCGGUCCAAGUUCCUUGGAACAGGACGUCACAGAGGGUGAGAAUCCCGUACGUGGUCGCUGGCUAUUGCCGUGUAAAGCCCCUUUCGACGAGUCGAGUUGUUUGGGAAUGCAGCUCUAAAUGGGAGGUACAUUUCUUCUAAAGCUAAAUAUUGGCCAGAGACCGAUAGCGCACAAGUAGAGUGAUCGAAAGAUGAAAAGCACUUUGGAAAGAGAGUCAAACAGCACGUGAAAUUGUUGAAAGGGAAGCGCUUGCAGCCAGACUUGCUUACAGUUGCUCAUCCGGGUUUUUACCCGGUGCACUCUUCUGUAGGCAGGCCAGCAUCAGUUUGGGCGGUAGGAUAAAGGUCUCUGUCACGUACCUCCUUUCGGGGAGGCCUUAUAGGGGAGACGACAUACUACCAGCCUGGACUGAGGUCCGCGCAUCUGCUAGGAUGCUGGCGUAAUGGCUGUAAGCGGCCCGUCUUGAAACACGGACCAAGGAGUCUAACAUCUAUGCGAGUGUUUGGGUGUCAAGCCCGAGCGCGUAAUGAAAGUGAACGGAGGUGGGAACCCGCAAGGGUGCACCAUCGACCGAUCCUGAUGUCUUCGGAAGGAUUUGAGUAAGAGCAUGGCUGUUGGGACCCGAAAGAUGGUGAACUAUGCUUGAAUAGGGUGAAGCCAGAGGAAACUCUGGUGGAGGCUCGCAGCGGUUCUGACGUGCAAAUCGAUCGUCAAAUUUGGGCAUAGGGGCGAAAGACUAAUCGAACUAUCUAGUAGCUGGUUCCUGCCGAAGUUUCCCUCAGGAUAGCAGUAACGUAUUCAGUUUUAUGAGGUAAAGCGAAUGAUUAGAGGCCUGGGGGUUGAAACAACCUUCACCUAUUCUCAAACUUUAAAUAUGUAAGAAGUCCUUGUUACUUAAUGA
Molecule: ribosomal RNA, 1006 nt
Filed under: Alternaria tenuissima
Lineage: Eukaryota; Fungi; Ascomycota; Dothideomycetes; Pleosporales; Pleosporaceae
Description: partial 28S ribosomal RNA
Rfam family: Eukaryotic large subunit ribosomal RNA
Source: RNAcentral